RNAcentral lists this ribosomal RNA (690 nucleotides) under Zethopsus sp. JP-2014. Its description in RNAcentral is "eukaryotic LSU rRNA". It matches the Rfam family "Eukaryotic large subunit ribosomal RNA", at positions 663 to 1265 of the family's 3401-position model. Lineage: Eukaryota; Metazoa; Arthropoda; Insecta; Coleoptera; Staphylinidae. The record is from RNAcentral.
GGACCAAGGAGUGCAAAAAGUUGGCGAGUAGUAAGGUGUCUCUAAACCGUAAAGCGUACCGAAAGGACGCGGCCGACGGCCUCUUCGCGGAGGCCCCGGCCAAUCGGAACGAUGGCGCGCUCUCAGCGCGUCCGCAGUUCCUAGGCGGUCUCUGACUCGUUUCGGCGAGAUGAGCCGUCGAUCAGCUUACUUUUUGCUACCCGAAAGAUGGUGAACUAUGCGAAAUAAGAGCGAAUCUAGGGGAAACCCUGGUGGAGGUUCAUAGUGCUUCUGACGUGCAAAUCGAUCCUGCUAGUCUCGCAUAGGGGCGAAAGACCAAUCGAACUAUCUAGUAGCUGGUUCCAUUCGAAGUUUCCCUCAGGAUAGCUGGACCGGCUAUGGCGUCGCACCAGCGGCGUACAUCAGUCUCAUGAGAUAAAGCGAAUGACUAGAGGUAUUGGGGUCGAAACGACUUCAACCUAUUCUCAAACUUUAAAUGUGUGAGAACCGCGAACUUGCGAACGAGCGGACUCGUUCCGCGCGAAGUCGCGGAUAAUGGAUGCUAGGUCCAAGUGGGCCAUUUUUGGUAAGCAGAACUGGCGAUGUGGGAUGAACCAAGAGCCGGGUUAAAGUGCCUAAAAUCGCACGAACUAGAUACCACAAAAGGCGUUAGUAACUGGAGAUAGUGGGGCGGUGGCCAUGGAAGUCGGA